UAAGCCUGUGAAGGUGGCCUGUGAGGGUUGCUGGAGGUAUCAGAAGUGCGAAUGCUGACAUAAGUAACGAUAAAGCGGGUGAAAAGCCCGCUCGCCGGAAGACCAAGGGUUCCUGUCCAACGUUAAUCGGGGCAGGGUGAGUCGACCCCUAAGGCGAGGCCGAAAGGCGUAGUCGAUGGGAAACGGGUUAAUAUUCCCGUACUUGGUGUUACUGCGAAGGGGGGACGGAGAAGGCUAUGUUGGCCGGGCGACGGUUGUCCCGGUUUAAGCGUGUAGGUGUGUGUUCCAGGUAAAUCCGGUUCACUUUAACACUGAGGCGUGAUGACGAGGCACUAUGGUGCUGAAGCAACAAAUGCCCUGCUUCCAGGAAAAGCCUCUAAGCAUCAGGUAACAUCAAAUCGUACCCCAAACCGACACAGGUGGUCAGGUAGAGAAUACCAAGGCGCUUGAGAGAACUCGGGUGAAGGAACUAGGCAAAAUGGUGCCGUAACUUCGGGAGAAGGCACGCUGACACGUAGGUGAAGUGAUUUACUCAUGGAGCUGAAGUCAGUCGAAGAUACCAGCUGGCUGCAACUGUUUAUUAAAAACACAGCACUGUGCAAACACGAAAGUGGACGUAUACGGUGUGACGCCUGCCCGGUGCCGGAAGGUUAAUUGAUGGGGUCAGCGCAAGCGAAGCUCCUGAUCGAAGCCCCGGUAAACGGCGGCCGUAACUAUAACGGUCCUAAGGUAGCGAAAUUCCUUGUCGGGUAAGUUCCGACCUGCACGAAUGGCGUAAUGAUGGCCAGGCUGUCUCCACCCGAGACUCAGUGAAAUUGAACUCGCUGUGAAGAUGCAGUGUACCCGCGGCAAGACGGAAAGACCCCGUGAACCUUUACUAUAGCUUGACACUGAACAUUGAGCCUUGAUGUGUAGGAUAGGUGGGAGGCUUUGAAGUGUGGACGCCAGUCUGCAUGGAGCCGACCUUGAAAUACCACCCUUUAAUGUUUGAUGUUCUAACGUGGACCCGUGAUCCGGGUUGCGGACAGUGUCUGGUGGGUAGUUUGACUGGGGCGGUCUCCUCCUAAAGAGUAACGGAGGAGCACGAAGGUUGGCUAAUCCUGGUCGGACAUCAGGAGGUUAGUGCAAUGGCAUAAGCCAGCUUGACUGCGAGCGUGACGGCGCGAGCAGGUGCGAAAGCAGGUCAUAGUGAUCCGGUGGUUCUGAAUGGAAGGGCCAUCGCUCAACGGAUAAAAGGUACUCCGGGGAUAACAGGCUGAUACCGCCCAAGAGUUCAUAUCGACGGCGGUGUUUGGCACCUCGAUGUCGGCUCAUCACAUCCUGGGGCUGAAGUAGGUCCCAAGGGUAUGGCUGUUCGCCAUUUAAAGUGGUACGCGAGCUGGGUUUAGAACGUCGUGAGACAGUUCGGUCCCUAUCUGCCGUGGGCGCUGGAGAACUGAGGGGGGCUGCUCCUAGUACGAGAGGACCGGAGUGGACGCAUCACUGGUGUUCGGGUUGUCAUGCCAAUGGCACUGCCCGGUAGCUAAAUGCGGAAGAGAUAAGUGCUGAAAGCAUCUAAGCACGAAACUUGCCCCGAG
This 1577-nucleotide ribosomal RNA is filed under the name Salmonella enterica. RNAcentral's name for it is "partial 23S ribosomal RNA". It matches the Rfam family "Bacterial large subunit ribosomal RNA", at positions 1243 to 2803 of the family's 2925-position model. The record is from RNAcentral. Lineage: Bacteria; Pseudomonadati; Pseudomonadota; Gammaproteobacteria; Enterobacterales; Enterobacteriaceae.